UGAGGAAUAUUGGUCAAUGGGAGAGAUCCUGAACCAAGCCAAGCCGCGUGAGGGAAGACGGCCCUAUGGGUUGUAAACCUCUUUUGUCGGAGAACAAAACCCGGGACGUGUCCCGGACUGCGUGUAUCCGAAGAAAAAGCAUCGGCUAACUCCGUGCC
RNAcentral lists this ribosomal RNA (158 nucleotides) under uncultured bacterium. Its description in RNAcentral is "partial 16S ribosomal RNA". It matches the Rfam family "Bacterial small subunit ribosomal RNA", at positions 355 to 509 of the family's 1533-position model. The record is from RNAcentral.